CAUGGGAGCCGUGCUGCUUGGAGAGCAAAGCACCAUGGGAGUUAUGGCCUCCGUGCCGCAAGGCACCAUGGGAGUCCUGCACCUUCAGCCCCGAAGCAUCAUGGGAGCCGUGCUGCUCAGACUGCAAGGCAUCAUGGGAGUCAUGACUGCUGUGCCGCAAGGCAUCGUGGGAGCCAUGGCUUCCAUCCUGCAAGGCAUCAUGGGAGCCAGGUCCUCCACGCUGCAAAGCAUCGUGGGAGCCAUGCGGCUUCGUCCCCAAACCGUCACGGCAGCCAGGGCGUCCGUGUUGCAAAGCAUCAUGGGAACCGUGGCUGCUGCACUGCAAGGCAUCAUGGGAGUUGUGCUUCUCAGAGUGCAAGGCAUCAUGGGAGUCAUGGCCUCCACACUGCAAGGCAUCAUGGGAGUCAUGGCCUCCACACUGCAAGGCAUCAUGGGAGUCAUGCGCUUUUGGCCCCAAACUGUCAUGGCAGCCAGCGCUUCCACGCCGCAAGGCAUUGUGGGAGGCAUGGCUGCUGUGCUGCAAGGCCUCAUGGGAGUCACGGUCUCCCUGCUGCAAAGCAUUGUGGGAGUCAUGUGACUUCGGGCUCAAACCGCCACAGCAGUUGGCUCCUCUGCGCUGCAAAGCAUCAUGGGAGUCAUGGCCGCUAGGCUGCAAGGCAGCAUGGGAGCGCUGCAUCCUCAGCCGCAAGGCAUCAUGGGAGCCACAGCCUGCACAGCACAAGGCACCAUGGGAAGGGCGUGGCUUGGGCCCCAAAGCACCAUGGGAGCCACACUGCCUGCACUGCAAAGCAUCAUGGGUGCUGUGGCAGCCAUGUUGUAAAGCCACAGGGGAGCUCCGCUUCUUGGGCUGCAAAGCAUCAUGGGAGCUGCGGCCCUGGGGCCGCAGAGCAUCAUGGGAGCUGUCCCUCGGGGGCCGCAAAGCAUCAUGGGAGCCACAGCCCUCUGCGGCACCCUCCCCUUGCAAGGCAUCAUGGGAGUUGUGGUCCCAGGGUCGCCCAGCAUCAUGGGAGUCACAGCUGCAGGGCCGCAAGGCAUCAUGGGAGCUGUCCCUCGGGGGCCGCACGGCAUCAUGGGAGCCGCGUGCGCCCAGGUACAUCUUUGGCCGCAAAGCAUCAUGGGAGGCGUGCUCCCCUGGGCGCGCCGCUCGCCGCAAGGCAUCAUGGGAGCCGCAUCUCUCCAGAGGAGACUCGCGCCGCAAAGCAUCAUGGGAGUCGUGGCUCUCCAAGGACGUCAGGUGGCACAAAGCAUCAUGGGAGCCGCGCUCACCGUGGGAGGGCUCACGCCGCAAAGCAUCGUGGGAGUCGUGUCUCUCCAGGGAAGACUCUUGCUGCAAAGCAUCAUGGGACUCACGCUUGCCACAGGACAGCUUGCGCCGCAAAACAUCAUGGGAGUUGGGCCUCUCCAAAGGCAUCAUGUGCCGCAAAGCAUCAUGGGAGCCGCAUCUCUCCAGGGAGGACUCUCGCCGCAAAGCAUCAUGGGAGCCACGCUCGCUGCGCAACAGCUCAUGGCGCAAAGCAUCAUGGGAGUUGCAUCUCUCCAGGGAGGACUCUUGCCGCAAAGCAUCAUGGGAGCUGUGCUCGCCAUGUGACAGCUCAUGGCACAAAGCAUCAUGGGAGCCACGUCUCUCCAGGGAGGACUCUCGCCGCAAGGCAUCGUGGGACGCCCCGCGCCGCAAGGCAUCGUGGGAGCUGGGUGGGGCCGCGCCAGGGGGCGGGGCCGCACCAGGCCCCGCCCCCCCGGCGGCCUCCAUCUUCC
Apteryx rowi (Okarito brown kiwi) is the source of this 1755-nucleotide long non-coding RNA. The record is from Ensembl. Lineage: Eukaryota; Metazoa; Chordata; Aves; Apterygiformes; Apterygidae.